This 253-nucleotide ribosomal RNA is filed under the name uncultured bacterium. RNAcentral's name for it is "partial 16S ribosomal RNA". It matches the Rfam family "Bacterial small subunit ribosomal RNA", at positions 524 to 776 of the family's 1533-position model. The record is from RNAcentral.
UACGGAGGAUGCAAGCGUUAUCCGGAAUGAUUGGGCGUAAAGGGUCCGCAGGUGGCAGUGUAAGUCUGCUGUCAAAGAAUGAGGCUUAACCUUAUCAAGGCAGUGGAAACUACACAGCUAGAGUACGGUCGGGGUAGAAGGAAUUCCUGGUGUAGCGGUGAAAUGCGCAGAUAUCAGGAGGAACACCAGCGGCGAAGGCGGCGCUCUGGGCCGGAACUGACGCUGAGGAGCGAAAGCGUGGGUAGCAAACAGG